This 452-nucleotide ribosomal RNA is filed under the name Blastocystis sp. RNAcentral describes it as "SSU rRNA". It matches the Rfam family "Eukaryotic small subunit ribosomal RNA", at positions 474 to 940 of the family's 1831-position model. The record is from RNAcentral. Lineage: Eukaryota; Bigyra; Opalinata; Blastocystidae.
UAAAUCACAAUGCGGGACUGUUAGUCUUGCAAUUGGAUUGAGAACAACGUACAACUCUUAUCGAUAAGCCAUUGGAGGGCAAGUCUGGUGCCAGCAGCCGCGGUAAUUCCAGCUCCAAUAGCGUAUAUUAACGUUGUUGCAGUUAAAAAGCUCGUAGUUGAAGUGAGGGAGUGUGUGGGUAUGAGAGCUAGUCUCAAGUACUUACAACCUCCCCCCUCCAAUCGGUGUAGUGGGGUAUUCAGUUAUUCUACUACUCCUUUGGUCGUUUACUGUGAGAAAAUUAGAGUGUUCAAAGCGGGCGUUUGUUUGAAUAGAUUAGCAUGGAAUAAUGAUUGAAGGCUUUCGUGUUCGAUUUGAUUGGUUUGUUCAUGGAAGCAAGGUUAAAAGGAACAGUUGGGGGUAUUCAUAUUCACUAGUUAGAGGUGAAAUUCUCGGAUUUAUGGAAGAUGAAC